This 2902-nucleotide ribosomal RNA is filed under the name Klebsiella pneumoniae. RNAcentral's name for it is "23S ribosomal RNA". It matches the Rfam family "Bacterial large subunit ribosomal RNA". The record is from RNAcentral. Lineage: Bacteria; Pseudomonadati; Pseudomonadota; Gammaproteobacteria; Enterobacterales; Enterobacteriaceae. RNAcentral also lists the same sequence under 1 other name.
GGUUAAGCGACUAAGCGUACACGGUGGAUGCCCUGGCAGUCAGAGGCGAUGAAGGACGUGCUAAUCUGCGAAAAGCGUCGGUAAGGUGAUAUGAACCGUUAUAACCGGCGAUGUCCGAAUGGGGAAACCCAGUGCAAUUCGUUGCACUAUCGUUAACUGAAUACAUAGGUUAACGAGGCGAACCGGGGGAACUGAAACAUCUAAGUACCCCGAGGAAAAGAAAUCAACCGAGAUUCCCCCAGUAGCGGCGAGCGAACGGGGAGCAGCCCAGAGUCUGAAUCAGCUUGUGUGUUAGUGGAACGGUCUGGAAAGUCCGACGGUACAGGGUGAUAGUCCCGUACACCAAAAUGCACAGGCUGUGAACUCGAAGAGUAGGGCGGGACACGUGGUAUCCUGUCUGAAUAUGGGGGGACCAUCCUCCAAGGCUAAAUACUCCUGACUGACCGAUAGUGAACCAGUACCGUGAGGGAAAGGCGAAAAGAACCCCGGCGAGGGGAGUGAAAAAGAACCUGAAACCGUGUACGUACAAGCAGUGGGAGCACCUUCGGGUGUGACUGCGUACCUUUUGUAUAAUGGGUCAGCGACUUAUAUUCUGUAGCAAGGUUAACCGUAUAGGGGAGCCGCAGGGAAACCGAGUCUUAACUGGGCGUUAAGUUGCAGGGUAUAGACCCGAAACCCGGUGAUCUAGCCAUGGGCAGGUUGAAGGUUGGGUAACACUAACUGGAGGACCGAACCGACUAAUGUUGAAAAAUUAGCGGAUGACUUGUGGCUGGGGGUGAAAGGCCAAUCAAACCGGGAGAUAGCUGGUUCUCCCCGAAAGCUAUUUAGGUAGCGCCUCGUGAAUUCAUCUUCGGGGGUAGAGCACUGUUUCGGCUAGGGGGUCAUCCCGACUUACCAACCCGAUGCAAACUACGAAUACCGAAGAAUGUUAUCACGGGAGACACACGGCGGGUGCUAACGUCCGUCGUGAAGAGGGAAACAACCCAGACCGCCAGCUAAGGUCCCAAAGUCAUGGUUAAGUGGGAAACGAUGUGGGAAGGCACAGACAGCCAGGAUGUUGGCUUAGAAGCAGCCAUCAUUUAAAGAAAGCGUAAUAGCUCACUGGUCGAGUCGGCCUGCGCGGAAGAUGUAACGGGGCUAAACCAUGCACCGAAGCUGCGGCAGCGACACUAUGUGUUGUUGGGUAGGGGAGCGUUCUGUAAGCCUGCGAAGGUGUGCUGUGAGGCAUGCUGGAGGUAUCAGAAGUGCGAAUGCUGACAUAAGUAACGAUAAAGCGGGUGAAAAGCCCGCUCGCCGGAAGACCAAGGGUUCCUGUCCAACGUUAAUCGGGGCAGGGUGAGUCGACCCCUAAGGCGAGGCCGAAAGGCGUAGUCGAUGGGAAACAGGUUAAUAUUCCUGUACUUGGUGUUACUGCGAAGGGGGGACGGAGAAGGCUAUGUUAGCCGGGCGACGGUUGUCCCGGUUUAAGCAUGUAGGCUGGUUAUCCAGGCAAAUCCGGAUAAUCAAGGCUGAGGUGUGAUGACGAGGCACUACGGUGCUGAAGUAACAAAUGCCCUGCUUCCAGGAAAAGCCUCUAAGCAUCAGGUAACAUCAAAUCGUACCCCAAACCGACACAGGUGGUCAGGUAGAGAAUACCAAGGCGCUUGAGAGAACUCGGGUGAAGGAACUAGGCAAAAUGGUGCCGUAACUUCGGGAGAAGGCACGCUGGUGUGUAGGUGAAGUCCCUGCGGAUGGAGCUGAGACCAGUCGAAGAUACCAGCUGGCUGCAACUGUUUAUUAAAAACACAGCACUGUGCAAACACGAAAGUGGACGUAUACGGUGUGACGCCUGCCCGGUGCCGGAAGGUUAAUUGAUGGGGUUAUCCGUAAGGAGAAGCUCUUGAUCGAAGCCCCGGUAAACGGCGGCCGUAACUAUAACGGUCCUAAGGUAGCGAAAUUCCUUGUCGGGUAAGUUCCGACCUGCACGAAUGGCGUAAUGAUGGCCAGGCUGUCUCCACCCGAGACUCAGUGAAAUUGAACUCGCUGUGAAGAUGCAGUGUACCCGCGGCAAGACGGAAAGACCCCGUGAACCUUUACUAUAGCUUGACACUGAACAUUGAGCCUUGAUGUGUAGGAUAGGUGGGAGGCUUUGAAGCGUGGACGCCAGUCUGCGUGGAGCCAACCUUGAAAUACCACCCUUUAAUGUUUGAUGUUCUAACGUUGGCCCCUGACCGGGGUUGCGGACAGUGUCUGGUGGGUAGUUUGACUGGGGCGGUCUCCUCCCAAAGCGUAACGGAGGAGCACGAAGGUUAGCUAAUCCUGGUCGGACAUCAGGAGGUUAGUGCAAUGGCAUAAGCUAGCUUGACUGCGAGCGUGACGGCGCGAGCAGGUGCGAAAGCAGGUCAUAGUGAUCCGGUGGUUCUGAAUGGAAGGGCCAUCGCUCAACGGAUAAAAGGUACUCCGGGGAUAACAGGCUGAUACCGCCCAAGAGUUCAUAUCGACGGCGGUGUUUGGCACCUCGAUGUCGGCUCAUCACAUCCUGGGGCUGAAGUAGGUCCCAAGGGUAUGGCUGUUCGCCAUUUAAAGUGGUACGCGAGCUGGGUUUAGAACGUCGUGAGACAGUUCGGUCCCUAUCUGCCGUGGGCGCUGGAGAAUUGAGGGGGGCUGCUCCUAGUACGAGAGGACCGGAGUGGACGCAUCACUGGUGUUCGGGUUGUCAUGCCAAUGGCACUGCCCGGUAGCUAAAUGCGGAAGAGAUAAGUGCUGAAAGCAUCUAAGCACGAAACUUGCCCCGAGAUGAGUUCUCCCUGAGACUUUAAGUCUCCUGAAGGAACGUUGAAGACGACGACGUUGAUAGGCCGGGUGUGUAAGCGCAGCGAUGCGUUGAGCUAACCGGUACUAAUGAACCGUGAGGCUUAACCUU